Molecule: ribosomal RNA, 246 nt
Filed under: uncultured bacterium
Lineage: Bacteria
Description: partial small subunit ribosomal RNA
Rfam family: Bacterial small subunit ribosomal RNA
Source: RNAcentral
AGAAUCAACGCUGGCGGCGUGCCUAACACAUGCAAGUCGCACGAGAAAGGGGAGCAAUCCCUGAGUACAGUGGCGCACGGGUGAGUAACACGUGAAUAAUCUACCUCCGAGUGGGGAAUAACUGAGAGAAAUCUUAGCUAAUACCGCAUAACACUUACGAGUCAAAGCAGCAAUGCGCUUGGAGAGGAGUUCGCGGCAGAUUAGUUAGUUGGCGGGGUAAUGGCCCACCAAGACGAUGAUCUGUAU